CCGUUUGGGGUUGGGGAGUGGCGGGGAGAGAGAGAAGACCGAACCGUUUUCUCCGCGGAGAGGUUUGGCCCUGGCUCUGCCUCUCUGUGAGACUUUAUAAAAUUUUAAGACUCUGGAUGAUGGUACUCUCCUCCAAAGAAGAAUUCACCUUCUGGCAGUGAGAUACACUUCAGGCAUAUCACCUUUAUCCAGAAACGCUAUGGGACAGAUUAGGUAAGAAGUGCUACCAGCGAAAGACCGGCCAGAAAUGAAGAUGAAGCAUCUCUGAAAUGGUCAUGGAGGUUGCUAGGAGUAUUGACUCGAUUUACAAAACUUCUGUUUACUCACGACUUUCCCGGUAGGAGAAAGGCAGGAUGCCUGUAGUGAUAGCCAACUGCAGCAUCCCUAGAGACGCAUGUCCACGGAGUCAUCCGGAAAAACACACUGGGGACAAGGGGCUUUUCAGAGGAGACAGUGCUGGAGCUUGGCGGUACCCACACUGGAUUGUCUGGUUUUCCUCCAGCAGCAUUUGGUCCCGAGGCUGCCCUGCGGCAGAGGAGUGGGGGCAGGGAGAGCCGAGACACCAAAGCUUGAAGGGCAGCUGAAUAGGAAGCAGCUUACAGCAUGUGGGCUCAAUUUUCCUCAAAAAGCUCAUAAUAUAACUGUCAAAAAUGGCACUAUGAACCCCAAUUGUAAGGUAAUUAUGUUCAGUCCCAAAUUCAACACAAUAAACGUUAUUUGCUCGCAAGCCCUAGCAACCAUCUCAUAAGGGGGAGAAAAAUACUGUACAAAAAACAAAAUGUAAACUCGCAAGGCAGUAAUAAAAACAGGCACACAACUAUUCAUUUCAAGUCUAUUUUGGAAAGCCUUUGAUAAUACCAGUAAUUCCCCAUAAAGCUCAUAUUCUCCUGCCACAGUUCCCUGCUGGAGAUAGAAAAAGGUUUUGCUGUUCUACAGUCACUCCAUUUCUUAAAAAAAAGUUAAAUCCCUAACCACCUAUAUCCAGCUAAGCCUACCACCUAGGCAGGGCUCAGGGGCAGUAUCCAUGUGACUACUUCUUGUUUUGCACAACAAAAUUCAUUCAGCGGUCUUAACAAGGUGCUUAAAUGGAGUCCAAGAGCCUUGUCCACAAGGUACUGAAACGUUCCCCAAAAGGUAGAAAAUUCAACCAACCGUCUGCCCAUUUCUAAAUAUCCUGAUGCUUCUGAGCACGCCGGCCAGGUGGUCUCCCUUUUACAUCCUGGCUGACACGAGGGAGGCUGAGCAACUCCUCCGGGCACCACUGGCAGGUGUACCUACAACAGAGGAAGGAGGGGGUAGGGGCUUGAGAUACACCUUUGGUUGCAAGAACAGAAACCUACUUAGACAAGUAAGAGGGCGAUGGUUAUAUCCUCUCAUGGACCCUGAGGAAAAGCUGAGCAAUCGGGCCUCGGGGAGAGCGGGAACCAGCAGCAAUUUUGGUGGGGGAGUGAAGUGGCAGGGAAAGGACAGGCAGGGCUGUGUGCAGGGACAGAGGCCCCUAGAAGGGACUGGGCAUGUGGGUAAUUAGUCCCUUUAAUACAGGAAGACAGAAAGGAAAAGAAAGAAGAACAGAAGGUGGGGGAUGAAGUAAAAUAAUAGGAACCAAAGUGAAAAGAAAGAUAAGCAUUAACUGAGUGAAAAAAAUGUCAUCAACAAAUGUUUCAGCCAGCAGUCAGCAGCUCCCUGGUGCUAAAGGUCAGCCUGUCCCCUUCAAUCAAUCAACUAAAGCUUAGACUCUGCCUACUGUCCGAGCCCCUUCGUGGAUAUGCAUGUACCCACAGCUUAAGAGUCCCCUAAUUUUGUUGUUUGGAGAGACACUUCUUUGGGAAACAACCCCAGUGUUCUUAUUUGCUGCAAGUAAUAAUAAACCCUUCAUUCUCCCAGGGCGGGGGUGGGGGGAUCAGCUGUCCCUAAUGUAGAACCAGCCUGUGUAGUACUGCAAAUACAAAGCCCUUCUAAUUUACCCACGUUGGUCAUUCUGAUUUACAUGAUUUAUAUUCUGAUUUUACGGACUAAUUGUAAAGAGAGAAAGUUGUAUUCAUUGAAAGGAUGUGUAUGAUCUUGAUGAAGUCCAUGUACUUUUCACGCUUCAGUUUUAAAAACUUGGCUUAUACAUACAAUAAGCAUAAUCCAAAAUUGUAUUGGGGGCACACUGAUGUUUCCUGCUACAACUGAUGUGAACAUCAGUUUACUUCACUAGGUUUAUCUUUACAUAUAUGGCAUCAAUUCUUUGUCCCAAGGUGUAUGCCCUAAACUUUAAUAAAUCGUUGUCUCAAUUCCACUUCAACUUUAUCAGAAACGUUUCCUGAACACCUAUGAUGUUAAAAGCAUUGUUUUAAGCACUUAUGUUGUCACAGAGUCGAAUAAAACAUAGCCCUGUC
Non-coding RNA from Delphinapterus leucas (beluga whale), 2381 nucleotides. Lineage: Eukaryota; Metazoa; Chordata; Mammalia; Artiodactyla; Monodontidae. The record is from RefSeq and is a predicted model, not a curated record.